ACGGGACCGCACAAGCGGUGGAUGAUGUGGAUUAAUUCGAUGCAACGCGAAAACCUUACUACCCUUGACAUGUCCGGAAUCCCGAAGAGAUUUGGGAGUGCUCGCAAGAGAACCGGAACACAGGUGCUGCAUGGCUGUCGUCAGCCCGUGUCGUGAGAUGUUGGGUUAAGUCCCGCAACGAGCGCAACCCUUGUCAUUAGUUGCCAUCAUUUGGUUGGGCACUCUAAUGAGACUGCCGGUGACAAACCGGAGGAAGGUGGGGAUGACGUCAAGUCCUCAUGGCCCUUAUGGGUAGGGCUUCACACGUCAUACAAUGGUCGGUACAGAGGGUUGCCAACCCGCGAGGGGGAGCUAAUCCCACAAAGCCGAUCGUAGUCCGGAUCGCAGUCUGCAACUCGACUACGUGAAGUCGGAAUCGCUAGUAAUCGCAGAUCAGCAUGCUGCGGUGAAUACGUUCCCGGGUCUU
This 466-nucleotide ribosomal RNA is filed under the name uncultured Rhodocyclaceae bacterium. RNAcentral describes it as "bacterial SSU rRNA". It matches the Rfam family "Bacterial small subunit ribosomal RNA", at positions 917 to 1381 of the family's 1533-position model. The record is from RNAcentral. Lineage: Bacteria; Pseudomonadati; Pseudomonadota; Betaproteobacteria; Rhodocyclales; Rhodocyclaceae.